AUAUUAUAUAUACCUACAUUAAAUAAUAUGCUGUGGUUUAUUUUCUGUAUUUUAUUUACGCUUUCUAUAUAAAGGAUUUAUGAAAGUUGUCUAGGAAAUUUUAGGGUAAAUUCAAAAGAAACUAGGGUAAAAUGUGUUAAAAAAAACGUAAGUGGAAACACUGCUUUGAAGUUUUCAAAAUUCCAGGGCCGUAAAACAAUCUCAAAAAAAAAAAAAAUGUUUUCAAAAUGUCGUAACGAUUUAAUUUUUUAAAUCGUUUUUUUUUGGUCUUGGUGUGAGUUAUUUUACGUUGUAGUAUUAAUUUAGAGCAACUUUUAGCUUUAUGAGAAUAUUAGACGAUUAGACAUUGAGAAACUCUGUUUUGAAUUCUCUUUAGACAUAACUUGGCUCCAAUACUUUUUUCUUCGUUAGCGUUUCGUAAGCCUGUGUAACUAUUUUCAUUUCUUACAGAAUGUUUAUUAUUAAAAAUCAGCAUGCCUCGAAGAUCGAAAAUGAAAUGCUAUUUCGGAUGCCUUGAUAACGACAAAGGUUUGAUAAUGACAAAAUUUUAUGGAAAAAUUAUAAGGAGCACUAAAAUGUCUGAAACAUGAAAAGAUUGAUGCACUAUAUUUGAACCAGAACGUGUUAUGUAAUAUAUUAAUUUAAGAGAAACUGAUUCAGCAAGGAACGUGAACUCUCAAGGGAUCUUAAUUUUUUUUAAAUAUUGAAAUAGUUCAUAAGAACUAAAUUGAUGCCAAUUUUGUUUUAAAAUAGGUUGUUUAGUUCUUAUAGUUAUAGUAUUACGUUUGAAUAGUUGUAAUUAGUAAGUUAGUAAUAUAUGAAAAUACUGAUAUAAAUUUUUGUAAAUAACCUUUUGUAAAUUCUACGAGAAGAUGAUUUUAAUUAAUGAUCAAAAGUCAACGGUCUUUAAAAGCAUUAUUUGCAAUUAUUUAGAUUAACUGUGGAAUAUAUUUGCUAAGUUGUGUUUUCUGUAUGAGCAGAUAUAAAUGAAAAUGCCCAAACAUGAUUAUGUUUCUUACAUUUUCAUUAUGUGAAAUCAAUAUGCUUGUGACUGAGUAUAUUAAUAAUUUAUUAAAACUUAAGUGAUAGACAGCAACCCCUAUGGCACUGCUGAAGUUUAUAAGAACUGGUGACCACUUAUCAUGGGCCGGGUUGCGUGCUCGUCUGCUGUUGAGUGCAAUAAAAAUUUUCGAAACCCUUUCUAUUAUUUAGAUGUAAUAUUAGUGUACAUUUAAUUUGGAUUAAAAGAUAAAUUUACAUUUUAUGUUUACAUGUGUAUGUUUAUAAUUCAUUUGCAUGUAACAAACACCAGUUUCUUUUGUAACAAAAUGUAAACUAAUGGUUUGUAAUGAAUGUAAUUAACUUUAAGAUGAUUUUCUUUCAAUCUGCUGUUUGUUUCAUCUAGUAUUACCAAAGCUAAAGCAUCAGAAACGUCAGAAUAGAAAUAAUUUAGAUAGGGAAUAAAAGUAUAACUAAUGUAAUCAUGUCUAAGAUUACUAUAAGCGUCAUUAAGUACAAACUAUCAAUAUUUAAGAGUACUUUAAAUCAUCAUUACAUUUUUUAAACAUUUUUUGUUUUUCAAAUCAUGUAAUAAAACGUUUGUGCAGAACAAAAUGUCACAUGUUAUGAACAUGAUUGUGGGUUAAUCGUUUCUUAAAUUUCUAAAUGUUUAUAAGAAUGCUAAGAAUAAUUUAGUAUUCACUUUAGUGUGUGUAUUAUCUCUACAAUGCUAGUAUAAAUGACAAUUAUUGUAUGACGAAGCAUAGGUAGUGUUUAUAGAUGUAAUAUUUUCAUACAAGGUCAUGAUCUGUCACGAUCAACUUUAAGCAAGAACUGCUAUAGUUAAGAAACAAAUUUAUUAAAUUUAAUUCAAAUUGUCUACUAUGUUUGUAAUGGAAAGCUGACAUGUUUAUAUUUCGCACAAAUGACUUAAGUGACAUUGAAUGAUUUGAUUAUCUAGACUUAAUUAACUUUUAGAUAACUUUCGAUUUAAUGUUAUUAAGUACUCUAGUAGGAUUAAUCUAGAGGAGUUAUUGUUAUUCGAAAUUUUAUACAAUUGUACGUUCAUACUAUCUUUUAACAGUAAAUUGUUUGUAAUAUAGGGAAAUUAAAUAGCUUACAGAGAA
Molecule: long non-coding RNA, 2126 nt
Organism: Bombyx mori (domestic silkworm)
Lineage: Eukaryota; Metazoa; Arthropoda; Insecta; Lepidoptera; Bombycidae
Exons: 3
Source: RefSeq, a predicted model, not a curated record